Molecule: small RNA, 34 nt
Filed under: Bombyx mori (domestic silkworm)
Lineage: Eukaryota; Metazoa; Arthropoda; Insecta; Lepidoptera; Bombycidae
Description: ovarian small RNA-4950
Source: RNAcentral
CUGAAAUCAAAUCAAACAAUAUCUCCUCAUCUGC